RNAcentral lists this ribosomal RNA (2217 nucleotides) under Triticum aestivum (bread wheat). RNAcentral describes it as "partial small subunit ribosomal RNA". The record is from RNAcentral. Lineage: Eukaryota; Viridiplantae; Streptophyta; Magnoliopsida; Poales; Poaceae.
AUGGCUCGUGGCGAUCAUCAAAACGAUGAUGUUGAUUUCAUGGAUCCACCACAGCGUAAUCGGGCAACUGGACGGAUAAAAGAGGGUGAUGAGAAGAAGAAACGUAUUCACAACAGAGCCUCCCAAGAAUGUCUGACUGCGUUGACUGACAAAUUCAUCGACGAUCAGAAAGGGGAUGCUAUUGAGAUGGGUAUGCAGUCUAUGAUGGCUGUCCGGUGCACGAACCUUGUCAACCCUGUAUGCGACUGGCUUGGUGAGAUCUACGAGCCCGCCUCCAGGGAAUUCGUGAUUCCGGGACACGGAAGACUUCCAUUGAACGAGGAAUCCAUGUUCUGCACUUUGGGUGUGCCUCGUGGACAUAUCAAAGUCCCGUACGAGGUCAACAAUGAGAUCGAGGAAGCGCUGUUCCCCCAUUUGUUUCCUGGGUCGGAAUCCAUGCCUAACACGUCUGCAGUGGCAGAUUCGCUGCAGGGCAUGACGACGCAUGGAGAUGUUUUCAAGAUGAAGCUACUCAUGUACCUGAUCUCAGCUGUUUUCGCGCCGACCACCUCUCUUCGCCCAAGCAACAAAUGCUUCCCCAUCCUGGCGGAUCUGAAAAAUGUGAAGAACAUGAAUUUGUGUAAGUUUAUUGCCGACUUCCUCCACGAUGCAUUCUCAAGCAAGAUGUACCAAAAGGGUUGUCGACUGCAUUUAAUGGUCAUGUAUGUCGACUAUCUUGAUCUGUCCAUCGUGGAUUUCACUGGGGUAGGAGGCCCGCCGCCUACGCACAAGUUUGCUGUUUCUGCAUGGACUAUCAACGCUGUCAAGGCUGUGCUUGCCGCAGACAGGGUAAGUGAUACCAAAUAUGGAAAACUGCAGCUGAUGGCCAAGCAUGCUAUAGACUACAGCGUGUUUGGGGGGCCUCAAAACUUUGGAAAGUGGAUGAAUGUGCACUCAGCUCCAUCUUGCCCUACCGAGGCGAGGGCACCUGUUGAGCAUCUAAUUGGGCAGUUUGCAUCCGGAAUGACCGGCUUGCUCGGGAAGUUGGUUGAGGGUUACCAAGAGCCCGGUGACACACAAGAUGAUCUAGAUGGAGACGAUGGCCUCAGCAAGGAUGACGACGAUGACAUGGAGAAUGUGCAACAGGACACCGAUGAUGGUGAACCUGCUGAAGUUCGCGCAGGUGCUAACAAGGGCAAGGAUGCAACAGAUGUCCCCCCACCGGAGAAAGUCAAAGAACAUACGACUGCGAGAGGCGAGGGGGUGUUGCCAUCAAGGAGGGGGAGGGCUCCAGAGGAUGUUGGGCAGGGUUCUCCUGGCAAGAGGUCUAGGACCGAUCCCAUAGCUGCCAGGAGGAGCGAGCCGACCGCUGGUGGACGAGCAGUUACGAAGAAACAGGCGCCAACGCCAACCCGUGUUUCUGCUCGCUUGAACAAAGGUGCCCCCAUUGCCGGUGACACCCCUUCCACCAGGUCUUCUCCUUGUACGACGACGACCAACACCCGGAAUCCUGUCAUGUUGCCAGACCUAAGGAAGCCAGUCAAGAAGGUGAAGAAGACUACUAUGCGCGGGGCCAAGCAUAUCAGUAAGGACCCGCUCGAACGCCUGCAUUCAAAGUUGUCAACAGGGGGCAACUCAGAUGUACAUGAGGCACCAGGCGACAAUACUGCUGCUGCACCAUUGGCCGCUCCCAACAACUCUGAUGCAAGUGUUACAUCGGGGAGUGACGAGUCAGUAUCUGCCAGGACAGCUGAAAUACUGCCAACUCUUCUAGCAAUGAAGGAUGCUGCUGUGAGCCAUGCCACCCCAUCAGCAAGCGUUGAAGUGGACGCUCCUGAGACGAACCUAAGCAAGGAAGAUUCCCUCUCAUCUGACACUGAUUCCAAGCGCGUGCGUGGUGACACUCCUGUGUCCAUGACAGAAGCGGCUGAGGCGGCAGUUCACAAGGAUACGCCAUCUAUAGGUGAGAGUCCUGGCACAACAGCUCCAGCUCCUGUCGGUGCAGAUACUGCUAAGGCGACUGUUUCGCGUGCUGGUCUUCCACCUAGGCGUCGUAGCCCCCGCAAACAACCAACAGACAUACCCAAUGCACCGGCUGUAGCUAGGAGCAGGAGAGACGAGUCUGGUUAUGUUCCUGCGUCCACACUGUUCCCGCCACCUGCCAGAAGCAAUGUGAUGGAGAAACCGGAAGACGGAUCACAACUGAUGCAGGUGUCAAGCCGGGCACGAGUGACGUAG